UCAAAUGAUGAUCGAACUUUUUUAAAGUUGGAAUUACCGUCUGAACUACAUGUAGAUACAAAUUGGCUGUUUUUCUGAUA
Small nucleolar RNA from Mucor ambiguus, 80 nucleotides. It matches the Rfam family "A. fumigatus snoRNA Afu_300". The record is from Rfam. Lineage: Eukaryota; Fungi; Mucoromycota; Mucoromycetes; Mucorales; Mucoraceae.